RNAcentral lists this unclassified non-coding RNA (139 nucleotides) under Oidiodendron sp. RNAcentral describes it as "partial internal transcribed spacer 2". RNAcentral also lists the same sequence under 1 other name. The record is from RNAcentral. Lineage: Eukaryota; Fungi; Ascomycota; Leotiomycetes; Myxotrichaceae.
CAACCCUCAAGCCCUGCUUGGUGUUGGGCCGGGCCCGUCGCGGCCGGCCCUAAAGACAGUGGCGGCGCCGCUCGGCUCUCAGCGUAGUACACCCCUCGCUGCGGUCCCGGGCGGCUGCCCGCCAGAACCCCGACUCUGU